This 88-nucleotide small RNA is filed under the name Chryseobacterium taihuense. Its description in RNAcentral is "Flavo-1 RNA". It matches the Rfam family "Flavo-1 RNA". Lineage: Bacteria; Pseudomonadati; Bacteroidota; Flavobacteriia; Flavobacteriales; Weeksellaceae. The record is from RNAcentral.
GAUUAGCCCCGAUUGCAGCGACAUCCUUUUUCUGCGCCGGCUUGAAAAAGCGAUGGCGAAAAAGAUAUAGCGGAAAGCGGGAAAUAGC